CAGUCGAGCGGUCCUUCGGGACAGCGGCGAACGGGUUAGUAACGCGUGGGACGUGCCCUUUAGUACGGAAUAGCCAUUGGAAACGAUGAUUAAUACCGUAUACGCCCCAAGGGGGAAAGAUUUAUCGCUAAAGGAUCGGCCCGCGUUAGAUUAGGUAGUUGGUAGGGUAACGGCCUACCAAGCCGACGAUCUAUAGCUGGUUUGAGAGGAUGAUCAGCAACACUGGGACUGAGACACGGCCCAAACUCCUACGGGAGGCAGCAGUGGGGAAUCUUGCACAAUGGAGGAAACUCUGAUGCAGCGAUGCCGCGUGAGUGAAGAAGGCCUUUGGGUUGUAAAGCUCUUUCGUCGGGGAAGAAAAUGACUGUACCCGAAUAAGAAGCUCCGGCUAACUUCGUGCCAGCAGCCGCGGUAAUACGAAGGGGGCUAGCGUUGUUCGGAAUCACUGGGCGUAAAGCGUAUGUAGGCGGAUCAAAAAGUUAGAUGUGAAAUCCCUGGGCUCAACCCAGGAACUGCAUUUAAACUAGUGAUCUAGAAUUUGGUACGGGUACGUAGAACUUCCAGUGUAGAGGUGAACUCGGAGAUAUUGGAAAGACUCCAGUGUGGAAGGGGAUAACCUGGGCCCUUAUGACGCCUGAAUACGACAGCGUGGGUAGCAACCAGGCUUCGAUCCCUGUUUUUCCCGCAGCAAACGACGACUGC
This 702-nucleotide ribosomal RNA is filed under the name uncultured Alphaproteobacteria bacterium. RNAcentral's name for it is "bacterial SSU rRNA". It matches the Rfam family "Bacterial small subunit ribosomal RNA", at positions 59 to 816 of the family's 1533-position model. The record is from RNAcentral. Lineage: Bacteria; Pseudomonadati; Pseudomonadota; Alphaproteobacteria.